Molecule: ribosomal RNA, 505 nt
Filed under: uncultured bacterium
Lineage: Bacteria
Description: partial 16S ribosomal RNA
Rfam family: Bacterial small subunit ribosomal RNA
Source: RNAcentral
GACGAACGCUGGCGGCGUGCCUAAUACAUGCAAGUAGAACGCACAGUUUAUACCGUAGCUUGCUACGCCAUAGACUGUGAGUUGCGAACGGGUGAGUAACGCGUAGGUAACCUGCCUGGUAGCGGGGGAUAACUAUUGGAAACGAUAGCUAAUACCGCAUAAUAUUAAUUAUUGCAUGAUAAUUAAUUGAAAGGUGCAAUUGCACCACUACCAGAUGGACCUGCGUUGUAUUAGCUAGUAGGUGAGGUAACGGCUCACCUAGGCGACGAUACAUAGCCGACCUGAGAGGGUGAUCGGCCACACUGGGACUGAGACACGGCCCAGACUCCUACGGGAGGCAGCAGUAGGGAAUCUUGGGCAAUGGACGAAAGUCUGACCGAGCAACGCCGCGUGAGUGAAGAAGGUUUUCGGAUCGUAAAGCUCUGUUGUAAGGGAAGAACGGGUGUGAGAGUGGAAAGUUCACACUGUGACGGUAUCUUACCAGAAAGGGACGGCUAACUACGUG